This is a non-coding RNA of Vicia faba (fava bean), 228 nucleotides long. NCBI's taxonomy places the organism in Eukaryota, Viridiplantae, Streptophyta, Magnoliopsida, Fabales, Fabaceae. The record is from the annotation of a GenBank genome assembly.
AUGGAAAAUCAACAGCAGAAUCCCAUGUUCAUCCAUCAUUCAGAUCAUGCCGGUCUCGUUCUUGUAUCACAUCUCUUGACGGAAGGGAACUAUUCGUCGUGGCGUCGUGCUAUGCUCAUCGCUCUUCGUGCAAAGAACAAGAUCGGAUUUAUUGAUGGUUCGAUUCCGAAACCUCCAGAUGGUGAUCCUGGCAACGCAAUGACAAAGGCGUUGUAUCGUGGCUUUUGA